Molecule: ribosomal RNA, 433 nt
Filed under: uncultured bacterium
Lineage: Bacteria
Description: partial 16S ribosomal RNA
Rfam family: Bacterial small subunit ribosomal RNA
Source: RNAcentral
AACGAACGCUGGCGGCAUGCCUAACACAUGCAAGUCGAACGAGACCUUCGGGUCUAGUUGCGCACGGGUGCGUAACGCGUGGGAACCUGCCCUUAGGUUCGGAAUAACUCCCCGAAAGGGGUGCUAAUACCGGGUAAUGUCUUCUGACCAAAGAUUUAUCGCCUUUGGAUGGGCCCGCGUUGUAUUAGCUGGUUGGUAGGGUAAAAGCCUACCACGGCGACGAUCCAUAGCUGGUCUGAGAGGAUGAUCAGCCACACUGGGACUGAGCCACGGCCCAGACUCCUACGGGAGGCAGCAGUGGGGAAUAUUGGACAAUGGGCGAAAGCCUGAUCCAGCAAUGCCGCGUGAGUGAUGAAGGCCUUAGGGUUGUAAAGCUCUUUUACCCGGGAUGAUAAUGACAGUACCGGGAGAAUAAGCUCCGGCUAACUCCGUG